RNAcentral lists this ribosomal RNA (560 nucleotides) under Scaphiophryne madagascariensis. Its description in RNAcentral is "partial 16S ribosomal RNA". It matches the Rfam family "Bacterial large subunit ribosomal RNA", at positions 1836 to 2609 of the family's 2925-position model. Lineage: Eukaryota; Metazoa; Chordata; Amphibia; Anura; Microhylidae. The record is from RNAcentral.
GAAAUAACCAUAGGAGGUCCAGCCUGCCCAGUGACAAAGUUAAACGGCCGCGGUACCCUAACCGUGCGAAGGUAGCGCAAUCACUUGUUCUUUAAAUGAGGACUAGUAUGAAUGGCAUCACGAGGGUUAUACUGUCUCCCUCUUUUAAUCAGUGAAACUGAUCUUCCCGUGAAGAAGCGGGAAUACAUCUAUAAGACGAGAAGACCCCAUGGAGCUUUAAACUCAGUAUCAACUGCCCUCCCAAUAUAUCCACCUAAUUAAGCAGACAUGACUACUAGUUUUCGGUUGGGGUGACCGCGGAGCAAAACAAAACCUCCACGAUGAAAGGAAUUAACCUCCUAAUCAAAGAGCUACAUCUCUAAGAAUCAACAAAUUGACAUUUAUUGAUCCAAUUUUUUGAUCAACGAACCAAGUUACCCUGGGGAUAACAGCGCAAUCCAUUUCAAGAGCCCCUAUCGACAAAUGGGUUUACGACCUCGAUGUUGGAUCAGGGUAUCCCAGUGGUGCAGCCGCUACUAAAGGUUCGUUUGUUCAACGAUUAAAACCCUACGUGAUCUGAG